GUCUACUGCCAUACCACCCUGAAAGCGCCCGAUCUUGUCUGAUCUCGGAAGCUAAGCAGGGACGGGCUUGAUUAGUACCUGGAUGGGAGACCGCCUGGGAAUGCCAGGUGUUGUAGGCU
This is a ribosomal RNA of Xenopus tropicalis (tropical clawed frog), 119 nucleotides long. Lineage: Eukaryota; Metazoa; Chordata; Amphibia; Anura; Pipidae. The record is from Ensembl.